AGUAAAAUAUUAUUCUGAAGACAUUAUAAGUCGGAAGCAGGACGGUAAUUAAGCAGGACGGGAAGCAAGCACGACGGGAAAACCCGAAGUUGGGCGAAAACCCUAAUUUCGGUAUUACGAAAUUCUUUGAGGAAGCCGGAGGCUCGGAAAAUAUUUUUAAAGGAUAUCAGACAUCAUCUGUAGUUGGGAAGCAAGCACGACGGGAUUGAAGCACGACGGGAAAACCCGAAGUUG
This 234-nucleotide long non-coding RNA is filed under the name Brassica napus (rape). RNAcentral's name for it is "long non-coding RNA (BNAP_LNC004538)". Lineage: Eukaryota; Viridiplantae; Streptophyta; Magnoliopsida; Brassicales; Brassicaceae. The record is from RNAcentral.